AGAGUUUGAUCCUGGCUCAGGAUGAACGCUGGCGGCGUGCUUAACACAUGCAAGUCGAACGAAGCGCCCAAAGACAAGACUUCGGUCAAGUCGGAGGGAUGACUUAGUGGCGGACGGGUGAGUAACGCGUGGGUAACCUGCCUCAUGCAGGGGGACAACAGUUGGAAACGACUGCUAAUACCGCAUAGGACCACACUAUCGCAUGAUAGAGGGGUGAAAGAUUUAUCGGCAUGAGAUGGACCCGCGUAGGAUUAGCUAGUUGGUGAGGUAACGGCCCACCAAGGCGACGAUCCUUAGCCGACCUGAGAGGGUGAUCGGCCACAUUGGGACGGAGACACGGCCCAAACUCCUACGGGAGGCAGCAGUGGGGAAUAUUGGACAAUGGGGGAAACCCUGAUCCAGCGACGCCGCGUGAGUGAAGAAGUAUUUCGGUAUGUAAAGCUCUUUAAGCAGGAAAGAUAGUGACGGUACCUGCAGAAUAAGUCCCGGCUAACUACGUGCCAGCAGCCGCGGUAAUACGUAGGGGACAAGCGUUAUCCGGAUUUACUGGGUGUAAAGGGAGCGUAGACGGCAUGGCAAGUCUGAAGUGAAAGCCCGUGGCUUAACUGCGGGACUGCUUUGGAAACUGUCAAGCUAGAGUGUCGGAGAGGUGAGUGGAAUUCCCAGUGUAGCGGUGAAAUGCGUAGAUAUUGGGAGGAACACCAGAGGCGAAGGCGGCUCACUGGACGAUAACUGACGUUGAGGCUCGAAAGCGUGGGGAGCAAACAGAAUUAGAUACCCUGGUAGUCCACGCUGUAAACGAUGAA
This 806-nucleotide ribosomal RNA is filed under the name uncultured bacterium. RNAcentral describes it as "bacterial SSU rRNA". It matches the Rfam family "Bacterial small subunit ribosomal RNA", at positions 8 to 813 of the family's 1533-position model. The record is from RNAcentral.